This is an unclassified non-coding RNA of Macaca fascicularis (crab-eating macaque), 148 nucleotides long. It matches the Rfam family "Metazoan signal recognition particle RNA". From Rfam's summary of the family: The signal recognition particle (SRP) is a universally conserved ribonucleoprotein. The record is from Ensembl. Lineage: Eukaryota; Metazoa; Chordata; Mammalia; Primates; Cercopithecidae.
GCUGGAUGUGGUGGUGCACGUCUGUGGUCCCAGCUACCCAGGAGGCUGAGACAGGAGGAUCGCUUGAGCCCAGGAGGUCAGUGCUGCAGUGAGCUGUGAUUGUGCCACUGCACUCCAGCCUGAGCAACAGAAUGAGACCCUGUCUCAA